GUCUCUCUUGAGUGGAUCCUGAGUACGACGGAGCACGUGAAAUUCCGUCGGAAUCUGGGAGGACCAUCUCCUAAGGCUAAAUACUCUCUAGUGACCGAUAGUGAACCAGUACCGUGAGGGAAAGGUGAAAAGCACCCCGGAAGGGGAGUGAAAUAGAACCUGAAACCGUGUGCUUACAAGUAGUCAGAGCCCGUUAAUGGGUGAUGGCGUGCCUUUUGUAGAAUGAACCGGCGAGUUACGAUUUGAUGCAAGGUUAAGCAGUAAAUGUGGAGCCGUAGCGAAAGCGAGUCUGAAUAGGGCGUUUAGUAUUUGGUCGUAGACCCGAAACCAGGUGAUCUACCCUUGGUCAGGUUGAAGUUCAGGUAACACUGAAUGGAGGACCGAACCGACUUACGUUGAAAAGUGAGCGGAUGAACUGAGGGUAGCGGAGAAAUUCCAAUCGAACCUGGAGAUAGCUGGUUCUCUCCGAAAUAGCUUUAGGGCUAGCCUCAAGUGAUGAUUAUUGGAGGUAGAGCACUGUUUGGACGAGGGGCCCCUCUCGGGUUACCGAAUUCAGACAAACUCCGAAUGCCAAUUAAUUUAACUUGGGAGUCAGAACAUGGGUGAUAAGGUCCGUGUUCGAAAGGGAAACAGCCCAGACCACCAGCUAAGGUCCCAAAAUAUAUGUUAAGUGGAAAAGGAUGUGGCGUUGCCCAGACAACUAGGAUGUUGGCUUAGAAGCAGCCAUCAUUUAAAGAGUGCGU
This 743-nucleotide ribosomal RNA is filed under the name Staphylococcus aureus. RNAcentral's name for it is "partial 23S ribosomal RNA". It matches the Rfam family "Bacterial large subunit ribosomal RNA", at positions 390 to 1135 of the family's 2925-position model. The record is from RNAcentral. Lineage: Bacteria; Bacillati; Bacillota; Bacilli; Caryophanales; Staphylococcaceae.